CUGGAGACUUAUUUCGUGAUUCAACAAUUCGAUUGAUGCAUCGACGCCCUCACUAUUAUUAUUCCUCUUCUUCUUCAUCUUACAAAUUCCCUCCAGCUUUAACUUCUCAUCAACAACGCUUUGAUUCUCUUUGACUGUGAUGAUGAUAAGGAUGAACAGGAAUUUAUAUUCCAUCCAAGUUUACGAAAUCCUAACGCCUACGGAGUGGCAUACGCAACUCUAAGAGUGAAAUACCAUAAUAUAUUACUGUAUCAAGUAUGUUUGGAAAGCCACCCUCGCUCUUCUCCACCUACACUAAAGGAGAAUAUACUUCUGCUAGUUUAACAUAUAAAGGUUGCACAGUUAAGUAUAAUAGUAAAAAAUGUACAAUCAUGGAAUGAAUGAAGCUUGACGAAGUGGAACGGAAGCCAAUUAACUGAAAUCCGUGGAGAAAUUCAAAUAGAAACCCCAUUGUCAGUGAGAAUGUUACUCCCGUUGAGUACUGACGGACUGGGGUUGAUGAAGAACAAUAGUCGUGACGACGUGGGGGCCGUU
Long non-coding RNA from Chelonus insularis, 534 nucleotides. RefSeq lists it as uncharacterized. The record is from RefSeq and is a predicted model, not a curated record. NCBI's taxonomy places the organism in Eukaryota, Metazoa, Arthropoda, Insecta, Hymenoptera, Braconidae. The transcript has 3 exons.